AAUACCGGAUGGUUGCUUGAACCGCAUGGUUCAAGCAUAAAAGGUGGCUUCGGCUACCACCCACAGAUGGACCCGCGGCGCAUUAGCUAGUUGGUGAGGUAACGGCUCACCAAGGCAACGAUGCGUAGCCGACCUGAGAGGAUGAUCGGCCACACUGGGACUGAGACACGGCCCAGACUCCUACGGGAGGCAGCAGUAGGGAAUCUUCCGCAAUGGACGAAAGUCUGACGGAGCAACGCCGCGUGAAGGAUGAAGGCUUUCGGAUCGUAAAGCUCUGUUGUUAGGGAAGAACAAGUGCCGUUCGAAUAGGGCGGCACCUUGACGGUAUCUAACCAGAAAGCCACGGCUAACUACGUGCCAGCAGCCGCGGUAAU
RNAcentral lists this ribosomal RNA (374 nucleotides) under uncultured Bacillus sp. RNAcentral's name for it is "bacterial SSU rRNA". It matches the Rfam family "Bacterial small subunit ribosomal RNA", at positions 165 to 524 of the family's 1533-position model. The record is from RNAcentral. Lineage: Bacteria; Bacillati; Bacillota; Bacilli; Caryophanales; Bacillaceae.